CAGCCCUGAGAUGGAGUACGCCUUUAAUAAAAUAGAGACUGUCCUCAGCCAUGAAAGAAGUCCACGGUAUGGCGAAUAAAUUGCGAUAGCCAACUGCCUUACCCCCAGUAAAUGUAUAGUUUCCCUUGUAUUUGCUGACAUACUCCUCUGCUAGUGUUGUCCUCGCAGCAAAUUCAUAAUCGACUGUAAAUGAAACUGAACCCUUUUCCUGCAUUCCCAAAAAGAGACCAAAACAAUGGAAAGAGCUUUGCUGAUCCAUGUUGCAAUGUGCGGACAGGAAAAACCCUUGUCCACCCAAAUGAAAAGCUUGAGAAUAUACUCUCCCAGAUGGAAAAAGAUUAGCACAUUCUUCCCGCUUAAGAUCUAAGUAGACUAUACAUUGUUGGCGUGGAAGUUCAAACUCAACCACCUUAACAG
Molecule: long non-coding RNA, 417 nt
Filed under: Solanum melongena (eggplant)
Lineage: Eukaryota; Viridiplantae; Streptophyta; Magnoliopsida; Solanales; Solanaceae
Description: long non-coding RNA (SMEL_LNC000196)
Source: RNAcentral